AAAAACUACAUUAGAGUCUAGAAAAACUUUUUUUAUGACUAUACCAAUUUCCCCUUUGUUAUUGUGGUAAAAAAAUGUUUAAACCUUUACUCCAAUUGUCAAAAGCACAAGUAAAAGAGCAAAACAAAUGUUUGGUGGCCCAAGCCCAUGAAGACAUACCUACAUACAUAUACAUAGAUAACCCUAAUUAUUUAUUGAUAGAAAGUAGCCGUCACAUAAUUUUCUUUGGUUCCUUGCUUCUUCUCACAUUCCACUCUUCUUCUUCCCAUGAACUGUCAUUCUUUUACACCAUUUCUUUUUCUUUCUUC
This 308-nucleotide long non-coding RNA is filed under the name Trifolium pratense (red clover). Its description in RNAcentral is "long non-coding RNA (TPRA_LNC001202)". The record is from RNAcentral. Lineage: Eukaryota; Viridiplantae; Streptophyta; Magnoliopsida; Fabales; Fabaceae.